GCUUACGGCCAUACCGCUCUGAUCAAGCCUGAUCUCGUCUGAUCUCGGAAGCUAAACAAAGCCGGGCAUGGUUAGUACUUUGAUGGGAGACUGUCUGGGAAUACCAUGUGCUGUAAGUU
Molecule: ribosomal RNA, 119 nt
Filed under: Gouania willdenowi (blunt-snouted clingfish)
Lineage: Eukaryota; Metazoa; Chordata; Actinopteri; Blenniiformes; Gobiesocidae
Source: RNAcentral